Molecule: long non-coding RNA, 429 nt
Organism: Manacus vitellinus (golden-collared manakin)
Lineage: Eukaryota; Metazoa; Chordata; Aves; Passeriformes; Pipridae
Exons: 3
Source: RefSeq, a predicted model, not a curated record
GAAAGGAACGGCUCGGCGUGGUGUGACCCCGGGCUGAUCCCGCCUCUCGAACACCUUUAGGCGGUUUGCUUAAAGUGUGAAGAUGGAAGGCUGGUGCCUGGAUGCUGGAAGCUCUUCUGUUGAUGCCACCAAAGAGCAAGGAUAUGAGAGGCUUAGAACUGCUCAGAGACACUGGAGGGACUGAUGCCUGCUUUGCUUUACUUUGGAUUGGGCAUCUUGAUACAAAUCAGAUCAGUGCUAGGGAGAAAAGGAAAAGAGAAUGGCACCAAAAACACUCUGAGUGAAGAUCAGCCUGCCCAGUUAGUCUUCUUUUUGGAAGCUGAGCUAGGAAGCCUGGAGAAGACUAGAGAUAAUUAUGUGCUUGCUUCUCUUUCUUGUUGGGAGUGCCUCCCUGACAAUAACUUCAAUGACUGUUGAUUGCAAAGCAAG